RNAcentral lists this ribosomal RNA (411 nucleotides) under bacterium enrichment culture clone ALO1_GLFRUDD03G0GI8. RNAcentral's name for it is "bacterial SSU rRNA". It matches the Rfam family "Bacterial small subunit ribosomal RNA", at positions 9 to 420 of the family's 1533-position model. The record is from RNAcentral.
GAGUUUGAUCGUGGCUCAGAUUGAACGCUGGCGGCAUGCCUUACACAUGCAAGUCGAACGGCAGCACGGGAGCUUGCUCCUGGUGGCGAGUGGCGAACGGGUGAGUAAUGCAUCGGAACGUAUCCUGGAGUGGGGGAUAACGUAGCGAAAGUUACGCUAAUACCGCAUAUUCUGUGAGCAGGAAAGCGGGGGACCUUCGGGCCUCGCGCUCUUGGAGCGGCCGAUGUCGGAUUAGCUAGUUGGUGAGGUAAAGGCUCACCAAGGCGACGAUCCGUAGCAGGUCUGAGAGGAUGAUCUGCCACACUGGAACUGAGACACGGUCCAGACUCCUACGGGAGGCAGCAGUGGGGAAUUUUGGACAAUAGGGGCAACCCUGAUCCAGCCAUGCCGCGUGAGUGAAGAAGGCCUCGG